Molecule: ribosomal RNA, 497 nt
Filed under: uncultured bacterium
Lineage: Bacteria
Description: partial 16S ribosomal RNA
Rfam family: Bacterial small subunit ribosomal RNA
Source: RNAcentral
GAUGAACGCUGGCGGCGUGCCUAAUACAUGCAAGUCGAGCGAACGGACGAGAAGCUUGCUUCUCUGAUGUUAGCGGCGGACGGGUGAGUAACACGUGGAUAACCUACCUAUAAGACUGGGAUAACUUCGGGAAACCGGAGCUAAUACCGGAUAAUAUUUUGAACCGCAUGGUUCAAAAGUGAAAGACGGUCUUGCUGUCACUUAUAGAUGGAUCCGCGCUGCAUUAGCUAGUUGGUAAGGUAACGGCUUACCAAGGCAACGAUGCAUAGCCGACCUGAGAGGGUGAUCGGCCACACUGGACCUGAGCCACGGUCCAGACUCCUACGGGAGGCAGCAGUAGGGAAUCUUCCGCAAUGGGCGAAAGCCUGACGGAGCAACGCCGCGUGAGUGAUGAGGGUCUUCGGAUCGUAAAACUCUGUUAUUAGGGAAGAACAUAUGUGUAAGUAACUGUGCACAUCUUGACGGUACCUAAUCAGAAAGCCACGGCUAACUACGUG